CUGUGUCCUUCGACGCCGGUUCACCGCCUGUCGGUGCCAACUGGCGUUUUGCGGGACGUCCUGUCGGUGGUGCGUCAGGAAUCUUAGUUGUGCUAUGCUUUGCGUAGUGCAGCUCUGGUUUCGGGCCACUUUCAUAAUCCCGCCGCGGUGCUCUUCAUCGAGUGUCGAGGCGGGCCGGCACGUUUACUUUGAACAAAUUAGAGUGCUUCAAGCAGGCUUGUCACGCCUGUAUACUGUGUGCAUGGAAUAAUGGAAUAGGACCUCGGUUCUAUUUUGUUGGUUUCCGGAAUCUGAGGUAAUGAUCAAUGGGGACAGGCGGGGGCAUUCGUAUUGCGACGUUAGAGGUGAAAUUCUUGGAUCGUCGCAAGACGGACCGAAGCGAAAGCAUUUGCCAAGUAUGUUCCCGUCGAUCAAGAACGAAAGUUAGAGGUUCGAAGGCGAUCAGAUACCGCCCUAGUUCUAACCAUAAACAAUGCCUGCCAGCGAUCCGCCGGCGUCCCUCCGAUGACCCGGCGGGCAGCUUCCGGGAAACCAGAGCUUUUGGGUUCCGGGGGAAGUAUGGUUGCAAAGCUGAAACUUAAAGGAAUUGACGGAAGGGCACCACCAGGAGUGGAGCCUGCGGCUUAAUUUGACUCAACACGGGAAAACUCACCAGGCCCGGACACCGGAAGGAUUGACAGAUUGAUAGCUCUUUCUUGAUUCGGUGGGUGGUGGUGCAUGGCCGUUCUUAGUUGGUGGAGCGAUUUGUCUGGUUAAUUCCGAUAACGAACGAGACUCUAGCCUACUAACUAGACGUAUCUGGUAUCAGCAAUCGUGCUACCAGCGAUCAUAUCUCUUCUUAGAGGGACAGGCGGCUUCUAGCCGCACGAGACUGAGCAAUAACAGGUCUGUGAUGCCCUUAGAUGUCCUGGGCCGCACGCGCGCUACACUGAAGGAAUCAGCGUGUCUUCCCUGUCCGAAAGGACCGGGUAACCCGCUGAACCUCCUUCGUGCUUGGGAUUGGGGCUUGCAAUUGUUCCCCAUGAACGAGGAAUUCCCAGUAAGCGCGAGUCAUAAGCUCGCGUUGAUUACGUCCCUGCCCUUUGUACACACCGCCCGUCGCUACUACCGAUUGAAUGAUUUAGUGAGGUCUUCGGACCGGUGCGCGGAGGCGGUUUUCCGCUCCCGAUGUUGUCGGAAAGAUGACCAAACUUGAUCAUU
RNAcentral lists this ribosomal RNA (1200 nucleotides) under Kosswigianella analis. Its description in RNAcentral is "SSU rRNA". It matches the Rfam family "Eukaryotic small subunit ribosomal RNA", at positions 723 to 1773 of the family's 1831-position model. The record is from RNAcentral. Lineage: Eukaryota; Metazoa; Arthropoda; Insecta; Hemiptera; Delphacidae.